AGAGUUUGAUCAUGGCUCAGGACGAACGCUGGCGGCGUGCUUAACACAUGCAAGUCGAACGAUGAACCACUUCGGUGGGGAUUAGUGGCGAACGGGUGAGUAACACGUGGGCAAUCUGCCCUGCACUCUGGGACAAGCCCUGGAAACGGGGUCUAAUACCGGAUACUGAUCGCCUUGGGCAUCCUUGGUGAUCGAAAGCUCCGGCGGUGCAGGAUGAGCCCGCGGCCUAUCAGCUUGUUGGUGAGGUAAUGGCUCACCAAGGCGACGACGGGUAGCCGGCCUGAGAGGGCGACCGGCCACACUGGGACUGAGACACGGCCCAGACUCCUACGGGAGGCAGCAGUGGGGAAUAUUGCACAAUGGGCGAAAGCCUGAUGCAGCGACGCCGCGUGAGGGAUGACGGCCUUCGGGUUGUAAACCUCUUUCAGCAGGGAAGAAGCGAAAGUGACGGUACCUGCAGAAGAAGCGCCGGCUAACUACGUGCCAGCAGCCGCGGUAAUACGUAGGGCGCGAGCGUUGUCCGGAAUUAUUGGGCGUAAAGAGCUCGUAGGCGGCUUGUCACGUCGGUUGUGAAAGCCCGGGGCUUAACCCCGGGUCUGCAGUCGAUACGGGCAGGCUAGAGUUCGGUAGGGGAGAUCGGAAUUCCUGGUGUAGCGGUGAAAUGCGCAGAUAUCAGGAGGAACACCGGUGGCGAAGGCGGAUCUCUGGGCCGAUACUGACGCUGAGGAGCGAAAGCGUGGGGAGCGAACAGGAUUAGAUACCCUGGUAGUCCACGCCGUAAACGGUGGGCACUAGGUGUGGGCGACAUUCCACGUCGUCCGUGCCGCAGCUAACGCAUUAAGUGCCCCGCCUGGGGAGUACGGCCGCAAGGCUAAAACUCAAAGGAAUUGACGG
Molecule: ribosomal RNA, 894 nt
Filed under: uncultured bacterium
Lineage: Bacteria
Description: bacterial SSU rRNA
Rfam family: Bacterial small subunit ribosomal RNA
Source: RNAcentral